Molecule: non-coding RNA, 88 nt
Organism: Immersiella caudata
Lineage: Eukaryota; Fungi; Ascomycota; Sordariomycetes; Sordariales; Lasiosphaeriaceae
Source: the annotation of a GenBank genome assembly
GCGCGGUUAGUUUAGUGGUUAGAAUUCUCGCUUCCCAAUUCCCACAUUGGAUCAGCGAGGGACCCGAGUUCGAACCUCGGAUCGCGCA